UCCGAUUCUUCCGGAAGGUGUGAAUCCAGAGUAGAAGCUGCGCCGGUCCGCUGCUCUUUUUGCCCUUUGGGUCUGUGAUUUCUGUUCAGCUAAAAAUAGAUACGAAAAGAAAGCCCGCUCCUAUGCUCCAGUUCGCCUUUCCAGGAAUGCCCCCAAUCUUACAGCCGGUACUGCUGCUCGUGGCCCUAGAGAUGACACCAUGCAUGUGACAUGUGACCCUCGCCUCGAGAAAACACCAACAGUUUUGAGACCGGACGUCUCAGAAUCUGACAUCUUCAAAAGGUUCAUCAGAACUCCUCUACAUUUGCGAACACUCUCAAAGCAAACAAGCGUCUCGAAUGUGUGGUUUGAGAAGAAAUUUUUAAGGAGGAAUCUUCCCCUAGUGCCUGGUGCGCAUUUUAAAUGAAUUGAAGGCUAUUGACUGAUACUGAGGAUAUAUAUAUUGCUGAGAUUAGAAAAACAUGUUUUUAUGUCAUAUGGUUUCAACAGUCCUUACAAAAUCAUACACGUGUUUCUGCUUUUCGUGCAGAAGCACCUAGUUAUGAAUUCCUCCCUAUAUAUAGAAAAAUUAGAGCUCUUGUUACUAGCUUUUUACCAAGGACUCCUCACUCAGUUACAUAAUGUUGGACUCCAUCUCAGAAUAAUACUUAUAAAUAUACAAAAAAUAAAUAUUAUACAUAUUUAUUUAUAAAUAUUUAAUUUUAUAUUUAUAAAUAUUUAAUUUUAUAAAUAUAAAUGUUUAUUUAUAAAUAUUAAAGAUUUCCAAAAGCAUUAUAUUAAAACAUGCUAACAUUUUAAAAUUAUAGCAUAUCUGUGCUCAUUUUUUGUGAGUGGCUCCUUUAUUAA
Long non-coding RNA from Cavia porcellus (domestic guinea pig), 846 nucleotides. RefSeq lists it as uncharacterized. NCBI's taxonomy places the organism in Eukaryota, Metazoa, Chordata, Mammalia, Rodentia, Caviidae. The record is from RefSeq and is a predicted model, not a curated record. The transcript is spliced from 2 exons.